RNAcentral lists this ribosomal RNA (396 nucleotides) under Golovinomyces fischeri. RNAcentral's name for it is "eukaryotic LSU rRNA". It matches the Rfam family "Eukaryotic large subunit ribosomal RNA", at positions 360 to 774 of the family's 3401-position model. The record is from RNAcentral. Lineage: Eukaryota; Fungi; Ascomycota; Leotiomycetes; Helotiales; Erysiphaceae.
AAAGAUGAAAAGCACUUUGGAAAGAGAGUUAAACAGUACGUGAAAUUGUUGAAAGGGAAGCGCUUGCACCCAGACUUGGGCGUCGUCGAUCAUCCGAGGUUCUCCUCGGUGCACUCGGCGAGGCACAGGCCAGCAUCGGUUUGGAUGGUUGGAGAAAGGCUCUAGGAACGUAGCUCUCUUCGGGGAGUGUUAUAGCCUAGGGCGUAAUGCAGCCCAUCCGGACCGAGGACCGCGCCUUCGGGCUAGGAUGCUGGCGUAAUGGUUGCAAGCGACCCGUCUUGAAACACGGACCAAGGAGUCUAACAUCUAUGCGAGUGUUUGGGCGUUAAACCCAUACGCGGAAUGAAAGUGAACGUAGGUGAGAACCCGUCUGGGUGCAUCAUCGACCGAUCCUGA